GAUUCACAGGAUCAGGUUUGGUUUUCACCAAUACCAGGACGGUUUAGCUUCAGGAAGUGAUUCAGAUUUCAGUUUUAUUGAUGUUCAGUUUGGCCUGAAUUCCUGCUCCGGUUUGUUUAGGUGAAGUUUCCUGUCGUGUUUAUUUGGUGCAGAGAGAACAUGAAGCCAGCAGAUCCUCCACAGUCGGCUUCAUCACAGCCAUCAGGGAGGAGGAGGGAAAUAUCGCAGCUGCUUUCUGCCGGGCUGUAACAGAGACCUGCAUUUACUCCAGCAUCUCACACCAGCUCCAUAAAUUACCCCCAUCACCGUAAUGAUCACUGCUGCCGCGCCAGACAGACCUUCAGCGCCUGCAGCAUCAGCGGUUAAUGGCUCCAAACCGCUCAGCCCACCUGUGGCUCUGAUCCACGACACCAACAAGUGGGUUGUUGAUGCUUCACAGAGCCGGCUGGAUUUCACCUGGAGCGGGAAGCGAUAUCACUGCCUCUGAGCGGGGGGCUAACGCUAACACUGCUACACUUUAUCUUUAAUGUCAGCUGAAGAGCCUGAGCCUCCGUGUUAAUGGAGACAGCUGCUGCUGAGGCUCACAGGAGCUCCAGCUUUACCAAACAAGAUAAAUACACAGCCUGAGUUAGCAUGCUAAAUGCUAAUCAAGGAACGAUCCGGCGGGUUUGUGUUCUGGACAGCUGAGCACGGUGGUGGAGGAGUGAUGACUGAGGAGGCUGAGCUGUACCUGCAUGCACAGCCCUGCAUACUGUGUGUAAUUUAAUCCAGAUUUUACACAAAACAGCAGCAAAUACAGCUGAUUUAAGAACAAACUGAAACUAAAGACGGAUUUUAGAAGAAUUUAAUUCAUGUUUGGACUUUGAGAAAUUUUCUUCAUUUUCAUGUAGAAAACAUCAAACUCCAAUAAAAUCAUGUUGCCACCAGUGCAGAGCUUCAUAAACAAUGGCAGCAGGUGAAGAAAGGGAAGUAAAGAAACCACUUCAGUCCAAGGAAACCAUUGAGUGGAAGAGAAAAACCUGGACGGAGAGCCUGGUGGCGUCGUUUCUCCUGACUGUUUCCAGCAGCAAAGGAUCAAAAAUGUUUCCAAACAGCAACUUUUCUGAAACAGCUCCACUGAAAACCCAGAGAAAAGUUCUCAGAAAUGAACAAACUGAUCGACUCUUAAGCACUAGAAAUGUGUCGGCCUUCCAGGAUUUGGUCCCAGAGUUAACAUCCAGCAUGAGGAAGAAUAAACUCCAGACUUCUGCUCUUCUAUCUUCACCCUGACGUUUUCCUGCAGAUCUCUGCAGUCAGAAGUGGCUCAGCCUCUCCACUCCCAGCAGAAUGAAUCCUCAGCUUCUUUAGCUGUUUAUCACUCCGACCUGAGGAGGAGGGAGCCUCCAGCUCUCACUGGCUAUCGGGUGACACCUGAGCAGAAGCUUAUCCCGGUCCGGUUCCUGCAGAUCUGUGGAGGGAGGAGAAAAACCGAAAAGGUUACAGCCGGGAACCCGACACCAGAGGAAGAACCCCGGAGCCGGAAACACCAUGAUGGACCUGGACGUCAGUCACACAAAGUUCAAGAGAAACUUUGAUCCUAAACGUUUAAUGAAGAUCCAGGUUGCCAUAGCAACACCAUGGAUUCAACGGCGUUCAUUAGCGCUUAAUGAGAAAAGAGGUUUUCACUGUUCGCUUUAAAGGGACUCUGUAGAUGUAACUUUAUUUAUGUUACACUUUUUACAGAUGGAUUUACAUCAUUUGGAUUAAAAUAUAAAGAACAAAAAACUCCACAAACCAGCAGUUAUCUUCUGUUUUGAUGUCAUGAAAUAUUAAAUAAUUAGCAAUGAUGCCUAAUGCAGCUUCAAAAUCAUUCUGCACAAAUAAAUAAAAGCUUUAAAAGUUAAA
Molecule: long non-coding RNA, 1884 nt
Organism: Gambusia affinis (western mosquitofish)
Lineage: Eukaryota; Metazoa; Chordata; Actinopteri; Cyprinodontiformes; Poeciliidae
Exons: 3
Source: RefSeq, a predicted model, not a curated record